AUGAGCGGUGCACCGCAAAGGCCAAUUUGGAAAAAUCUUAACUACAAACAAAUAAAAAAUGGCAGAAAAUACUCAGCCCAGUGUUUGUUUUGUGGUCAAACAUUGCAACAGAUCGACUGGUAUCGCAUAGAAAACGAUGUUCACAGAAAAAGAAUACUGAUGACACUAUAAUUCUAGAAGUGGACGAAAUCGACACCAGUGCAAUGAGAUUAAAUGAUUCCGCACAUUCAGUAAUGGACGUGUCAGCAAGUAGCACCCUUAUUGAUGCAGAUAAUAUUGUAUUUGAUAUCAUAUCAUCAGAAUCGCAGCCUUCAACAACUCCAGAAGCAACACCUUCAUCAUGCUCCUCAAGUAAUGCGAUAUGUUUUAAAGAACCUUGUGAAAAGCAGAAAAAGAAAAAAACAGGAGUUUGACCUAUUUCUGAACAGAAGAUCCUACUUCGGAAAAUGGCAUCGCUAAAAUAUCCACAUCUGGCAGAAACAGCUUUGAAAUUAAUCAAUAUACCCUCCUCUUCAGCGCAAAUUGAACGCUUAUUUUCGAAUUGGAAUUUUAUUCAUUCAGAUUUGAGGAACAGACUCUCGUUUGCAAGGUCCAAAAAGCUACUUUUUAUUUAUUAUCAAAUGAAAACUAACCUAAUCAAUGAAGAAUCGGACAGUGAAAAUUAAUAAAAGUAUUAAAAUACUAAA
Molecule: long non-coding RNA, 686 nt
Organism: Anastrepha ludens (Mexican fruit fly)
Lineage: Eukaryota; Metazoa; Arthropoda; Insecta; Diptera; Tephritidae
Exons: 2
Source: RefSeq, a predicted model, not a curated record